This 482-nucleotide ribosomal RNA is filed under the name uncultured bacterium. RNAcentral's name for it is "partial 16S ribosomal RNA". It matches the Rfam family "Bacterial small subunit ribosomal RNA", at positions 28 to 523 of the family's 1533-position model. The record is from RNAcentral.
AAUGAACGUUGGCGGCGUGGAUUAGGCAUGCAAGUCGAGCGAGAACCGUAGCAAUACGGGGACAGCGGCGAAAGGGACAGUAAUGUGUAGGUACCUACCUCCGGGUUCGGGAUAGCUGCGGGAAACUGCAGGUAAUACCGAAUAACGUCUCCGGACCAAAGGUGUGAUUCCACCUGGAGAGGGGCCUGCAUCCUAUUAGCUUGUUGGCGGGGUAACGGCCCACCAAGGCGACGAUGGGUAGCGGGUGUGAGAGCACGACCCGCGUCAUUGGGACUGAGACACUGGCCAGACACCUACGGGUGGCUGCAGUCGAGGAUCUUCGGCAAUGGGCGCAAGCCUGACCGAGCGACGCCGCGUGCGGGAUGAAGGCCUUCGGGUUGUAAACCGCUGUCGUAGAGGAGGAAGUGCAGGGGGGUUCUCCCCUCUGUUUGACCUAUUCUAGGAGGAAGGACGGGCUAAGUUCGUGCCAGCCGCCGCGGUAA